AUGCUUUACACAUGCAAGUCGAACGGCAGCGGGGGUUUAAGCUUGCUUAGGCCUGCCGGCGAGUGGCGAACGGGUGAGUACAACAUCGGAACGUGUCCGUUUGUGGGGGACAACUGCUCGAAAGGGUAGCUAAUACCGCAUAAGACCUGAGGGUGAAAGUGGGGGAUCGCAAGACCUCACGCGAACGGAGCGGCCGAUGACUGAUUAGGUAGUUGGUGAGGUAAAGGCCCACCAAGCCGACGAUCAGUAGCUGGUCUGAGAGGACGACCAGCCACACUGGAACUGAGACACGGUCCAGACUCCUACGGGAGGCAGCAGUGGGGAAUUUUGGACAAUGGGGGAAACCCUGAUCCAGCCAUGCCGCGUGCGGGAAGAAGGCCUUCGGGUUGUAAACCGCUUUUGUCAGGGACGAAAAGUCGUAUUUGAACAAAGUACGAUGCUGACGGUACCUGAAGAAUAAGCACCGGCUAACUACGUGCCAGCAGCCGCGGUAAUACGUAGGGUGCAAGCGUUAAUCGGAAUUACUGGGCGUAAAGCGUGCGCAGGCGGUUGGAUAAGACAGAUGUGAAAUCCCCGGGCUUAACCUGGGAACCGCAUUUGUGACUGUCUGACUGGAGUAUGUCAGAGGGGGGUGGAAUUCCACGUGUAGCAGUGAAAUGCGUAGAUAUGUGGAAGAACACCGAUGGCGAAGGCAGCCCCCUGGGGCAAAACUGACGCUCAUGCACGAAAGCGUGGGGAGCAAACAGGAUUAGAUACCCUGGUAGUCCACGCCCUAAACGAUGUCUACUGGUUGUUGGGGAGUUAAAUCCUCAGUAACGAAGCCAACGCGUGAAGUAGACCGCCUGGGGAGUACGGUCGCAAGAUUAAAACUCAAAGGAAUUGACGGGGACCCGCACAAGCGGUGGAUGAUGUGGAUUAAUUCGAUGCAACGCGAAAAACCUUACCUAGCCUUGACAUGUCGAGAAGGAGACGUAAAGGUAACCGUGCCCGAAAGGGAACUCGAACACAGGUGCUGCAUGGCUGUCGUCAGCUCGUGUCGUGAGA
Molecule: ribosomal RNA, 1044 nt
Filed under: human gut metagenome
Description: bacterial SSU rRNA
Rfam family: Bacterial small subunit ribosomal RNA
Source: RNAcentral